Molecule: transfer RNA, 75 nt
Filed under: Muribaculum sp.
Lineage: Bacteria; Pseudomonadati; Bacteroidota; Bacteroidia; Bacteroidales; Muribaculaceae
Description: tRNA-Val
Rfam family: tRNA
About the family: Transfer RNA (tRNA) molecules are approximately 80 nucleotides in length. Their secondary structure includes four short double-helical elements and three loops (D, anti-codon, and T loops).
Source: RNAcentral
GGCCCGAUAGCUCAGUCAGGCAGAGCACCCCCCACAACGGGCAUGUCGACGGUUCAAAUCCGUCUCGGGCCACCA